Diorhabda carinulata is the source of this 471-nucleotide long non-coding RNA. RefSeq lists it as uncharacterized. The transcript has 2 exons. The record is from RefSeq and is a predicted model, not a curated record. Lineage: Eukaryota; Metazoa; Arthropoda; Insecta; Coleoptera; Chrysomelidae.
GUUCAAAAAGAUAUGACGCAUUUUGUUUUUUAAAUACAAUUAGUACAGAGUACUUACUCAUCAUCAAUACUAAGCGUGUUCGUCUGGGAAGUUAUCUUUAUUUAAUUUACUCUCAUUAUUUAUUUUAGAAAACACAUUCCUUUGCGAUUUUCAAGAAGCAGUGCUAAAAAUAAACUUUUGCGUUUAAUACCAGUUUUGGAUCAUAAAAAUAUUUGCAGUUAUUGAUAAAUGAACAGCGGAAAAUGCAAGAAGAUGACACAGAAGAAAAUCUAAACGUGGAAAAUGAUGUAGAAUCAUCUCAUGAUGAAGCACUUCAGGCUAUGGAAACAGCUCUCAAAUUGUUUGAAAAACAAACAGAGAUUGAUACUGUGAGUUUACUACAGCUGAAACGAAUUCGUGAUAUAGCAGCAAUGAAGAGAAAAAGUAUUAGAGAAAUAUUAUUAUUCAUUAAUAAAUAUUACUAUUAUUAAA